CAGUUUGAACACAAAAGGCUCUAUGGAAGAAAUGCCUCUUUGUAGGUGAAGUGUUAUCUCUGCAUGCAACAGUUUUGAGGGCAGUAAAAAGGCAUUAAAUCAAGACAAAUCAUGUGCUUGAGGGAAAAAAAAAAAUUUAAUGAAAACACAGCACUUAUGUUGGUUUAGCUGCAGCCUCCUUGGAGGUAGAAUUUAUUUAUUUAAAAUUACUGGUUGCAUCAAGAACCCA
RNAcentral lists this long non-coding RNA (229 nucleotides) under Bos taurus (domestic cattle). Its description in RNAcentral is "long non-coding RNA NONBTAT024209". The record is from RNAcentral. Lineage: Eukaryota; Metazoa; Chordata; Mammalia; Artiodactyla; Bovidae.